RNAcentral lists this ribosomal RNA (497 nucleotides) under uncultured bacterium. RNAcentral's name for it is "partial 16S ribosomal RNA". It matches the Rfam family "Bacterial small subunit ribosomal RNA", at positions 28 to 507 of the family's 1533-position model. The record is from RNAcentral.
GAUGAACGCUGGCGGCGUGCCUAAUACAUGCAAGUCGAGCGAACGGACGAGAAGCUUGCUUCUCUGAUGUUAGCGGCGGACGGGUGAGUAACACGUGGAUAACCUACCUAUAAGACUGGGAUAACUUCGGGAAACCGUAGCUAAUACCGGAUAAUAUUUUGAACCGCAUGGUUCAAAAGUGAAAGACGGUCUUGCUGUCACUUAUAGAUGGAUCCGCGCUGCAUUAGCUAGUUGGUAAGGUAACGGCUUACCAAGACAACGAUGCAUAGCCGACCUGAGAGGGUGAUCGGCCACACUGGAACUGAGACACGGUCCAGACUCCUACGGGAGGCAGCAGUAGGGAAUCUUCCGCAAUGGGCGAAAGCCUGACGGAGCAACGCCGUGUGAGUGAUGAAGGUCUUCGGAUCGUAAAACUCUGUUAUUAGGGAAGAACAUAUGUGUAAGUAACUGUGCACAUCUUGACGGUACCUAAUCAGAAAGCCACGGCUAACUACGUG